GCAGAUGUAGUUCAUCGGUAGAAUGCGACCUUCCCAAGGUUGAGAGGCGGGUUCGAUUCCCGUCAUCUGCU
Molecule: transfer RNA, 71 nt
Filed under: Catonella morbi
Lineage: Bacteria; Bacillati; Bacillota; Clostridia; Lachnospirales; Lachnospiraceae
Also listed under: 4 other names
Description: tRNA-Gly(ccc)
Rfam family: tRNA
About the family: Transfer RNA (tRNA) molecules are approximately 80 nucleotides in length. Their secondary structure includes four short double-helical elements and three loops (D, anti-codon, and T loops).
Source: RNAcentral